Molecule: ribosomal RNA, 487 nt
Filed under: Taenia hydatigena
Lineage: Eukaryota; Metazoa; Platyhelminthes; Cestoda; Cyclophyllidea; Taeniidae
Description: partial 12S ribosomal RNA
Source: RNAcentral
CUUUUUUAUAGACUGGAUUUAUAUAUUUAUAACUAAAAUUAGGUUAAAUUUUUUUUUUACAGAGUUAAAUAUUUAGAUUGAUGAAAGAUGUAUAAUAGUGACAGGGAUUAGAUACCCCAUUAAUGUACAUUGUAGCUUUGUCUUAGUUAAUAUAACUAAAAUAAUUUGGCAGUGAGCGACUCUUUUUAGGGGAAGGUGUGGUGUAAAGGAUGUUCCGCCUAAUAAUUUACUUUCGUUAUGUUGGUGUAUAUCUGGUUUAAUAUUAUCGUUGAGUAAGUGAGUUUGUGUAGUUUUAUUUAAGCCAAGUCUAUGUGCUGCUUAUGGAAGUAUUCAUGCGUUACAUUUAUAAGGUUUUGGUUGUAACACUAAAAUAUUUAGGACUUAAAAGUAAUGUUCAAUAAGUUUGUGAGUGUGAAGUAAGUUUAGCUCAUGUACACACCGCCCGUCACCCUCGAUGCAUAUUGAGGUAAGUCGUAACAAGGUAAUU